CUCGCAAAAAAUGCAAAAAUACCUCAAUCCUUUUUCUUGAGGUGAUUGUACGUGUAAGACUUCAAACUUAAAUGACUUAGUCCAAAUGAAAUGGAGGCAAUCACCUGCAUAUGUCUACGGAGGCAAUCACCUGCACCAUCGAGACUAAAGACACAAUUUAAAUGAAGAUGAAAAGGUAGGGAAUUCAAGAGCAAGAUGAUAGAUGCCAAACCGAUUCACAUGGUUGCUGCCACAUCUUUGUUAAUCUAGAAGGUUCAAUAGUUAGUUUGUAGGGUCAAAAAUGUAAUAAGUCAAGCAGUGAUUGCUUAUAAAUGGAGAGUUGGGGAUUAGGAAUUAUUCAUUCACGUGUAUGUUGAGUCAAGAGGGAGAGACUAGGCCUCUCGAAUAGCCUGGGAUUUGUUACCAAUUCUGUUCAUUUACUCUUCCAAUAAGAAUUUACUUUGAUUUUUCAUUGUUUAUCAAUUCAAAAGAGCUUCCACUGGUACUGCAGGUUGGGGGUUCUAUCAAAAUGGUAUCAAAGCAACCAUUCUGGCCCUGGGAUAAUACAUUUGAUGAAGAAAAGAAAUUGGAAGAUCGGGUUAAUAAUUUGGAAAUAAGGAUGGAUGGACUGCAAUCAGAGUUCGAGGCAAUGAAAUUUGAGAUUCAAACGGGUAUGUCACGAUGGAAGGAGAAAAUUGAUUAGUUGAUGCAGAAAUGGGAUGGACUAGAGCGUGAUAAGAAGGAGACAUUUAAUCUAACUAGAAAUGCUACUGAUCUGGAAACUUCAAUCAAAACCAACGAAACAAGGGUGAGUACACGAGUAGCCUCCUCACCAGAAUCCACCGUCGUAGAAGACAGGAGUUCACUUAAAACCUUACCGUCACCAACGCCAACGAUCGCAAGCGAAGUACGGGAGCAUAUCCUCAUCAAGGGGCUGAAACUCACUAGCACCUCUAAAAUUUUCCCAAAAUUGGAAGAAGUUGGUGCAUAUAAUGGAGGCUUGAACCACCGGGAUAAACUUAGGAAGGCUGAGAUACGGAGCAUGCUGGGGUUUGACGUCGAGAAUUUCAACAGUUGGAAAAGUAGAUCGCAAAGAAUUUUCAAAUUGAAUCAAAUUUAUGAUUGGGAGAAAUUGGAGGCCGCAACUAUUUGUUGUGAAGGAAAAGCACUGACCUAUUAUCAGUGGAAGGAAAAUCGACAACCAAUGAAGAAUGGGAAUAAUCUGAAGAAGUUGCUAUUAAAGAGGAUUCGCCCAUCGCAGGAAGGGACAAAUCUGGAAAUGUUUAUGGCAUUAAAGCAAGAAACCAUUAAAAGAGAGUAUCAGGGGCAUAUUGAGAUCUGGGCUGUGCCACUUCCGGCGGUCCCUGAAGAGGUGAUAAAAGGCAAUGUCGUCAAGGGGUUGAAGCAUUUUAAAUAGGCUGAGGUCCAUAUUGUUAACUCUAAGGGACUUCAAGGAAUUGGCCCAACGUAUUGAAAUCAGGAAUAAAGAAAAGAAACAAGCCCAUUUCAAUUAUGGCCCAUCUAAAAAAAUUAAUUCCUACAGCCCAAGUUCCCUUGACCAUUUUAGUCUAUUCCAUGUUUCCAAUGAAGUCGCGUGCAUUCCUAGAUCAACUGCCAUCACAGUCUGGUGAGUAACAACUAACAAGGGGGUGUUAGAAUUUAAAAAGCUUACAGAUGUUGAGCUCCAAUGGAAAGGGAAGAAAGGAGGUACGGUCAACUACACACUCAUUUCGAUAAGGGAAGUUCAAAAAUUGGACAAUUUAUGGGUAGAUUCGACAGGCUAUAGAGUCGCCUCAGAUACUAUACUUGAGUGAGUUGCUCGAUUAUAUAAGUUCAGUCACUUCGAAAGGCUGAAACGCCUCUUCUUCGCGGUGAUCAAGACUGGAGCUCUUACAAAGGAAAUUGUGCGAUUGUAUGAUGAAUUCAACAGCCUCCACGUUGAAGACAAGGUGGAUUUUGAGGCGGCGGGUAAUGAUAGAUGCCAAACCGAUUCACAUGGUGGCUGCCACAUCUUUGUUAAUCUAGAAGGUUCAAUAGUUAGUUUGUAGGGUCAAAAAUGUAAUAAGUCAAGUAGGGAUUGCUUAUAAAUGGAGAGUUGGGGGUUAGGAAUUAUUCAUUCACGUGUAUGUUGAGUCAAGGGGGAGAGACAAGGCCUCUCGAAUAGCCUGGGAUUUGUUACCAAUUCUGGUCAUUUACUCUUCCAAUAAAAAUUUACUUUGAUUUUUCAUUGUUUAUCAAUUCAAAAGAGCUUCCACUGGUACUGCAGGUUGGGGGUUCUAUCACAAGAUUUUCAAUUAAAAAGGAAAUCGAUUGGUAAAUUCCACUACUACAUACUAAUAAGGAAAAUGAGAAAUCAAUUAACCUUGCACGGGCAAAAAUCAUCAGGAUUUAUAUCAUCAUCCAAACCUUUAGUAGCCUUCAACAUACAGAAAAUCACCAUGGCAUCAACAAUUGAUACCAAAACAUACUGAAAAAACAUGAAUUUUACAAAUACUAAAAGCCCUUGCUAAGAAUGCAAAAAUACCUCAGUCGAAUCCAAGCUUAAACGACCCGAUCUGAAUGAAAUGGGGACAAUGACCUGCAUAUGACUACAAAGGAAACAACCAGCUACCAUCGAGACUAAAGACAACAUUUAAACAAAGAUGAAAAAGCAAGGAACCUCAGAGCAAGAUUUUCAAUUAAAAAACAAAUCGAUAAAUUGUAAAUGAAAAUACCUUCAAUAUCACUCAUCUCCUUUUCAACUUUCACAAGAUAUCCAAGAUACAUACCCAAAAAGUAUAAACGAGUUUAGGUUUUAUAGCCGCCGUGAGAGAGGAGAAACAAAGCUGAGGAGAAUGAAAGGUCUAGGGUUUGAUUUUCUUUCAUUUGCACCAGAGAGCUGCUAGGGUUUAUGAUAAGUUUGGUAAGGUUAUAUGAAUUUUCUUUUGGACGAAAAUAUUUCA
RNAcentral lists this long non-coding RNA (2921 nucleotides) under Olea europaea (common olive). RNAcentral describes it as "long non-coding RNA (OEUR_LNC008931)". The record is from RNAcentral. Lineage: Eukaryota; Viridiplantae; Streptophyta; Magnoliopsida; Lamiales; Oleaceae.